This is a long non-coding RNA of Polypterus senegalus (gray bichir), 257 nucleotides long. RefSeq lists it as uncharacterized. The record is from RefSeq and is a predicted model, not a curated record. NCBI's taxonomy places the organism in Eukaryota, Metazoa, Chordata, Cladistia, Polypteriformes, Polypteridae. The transcript is spliced from 3 exons.
UGGACCGCUGAUCUUACUGUUGUUCUGCAUAUCCCUUGGGGUCACAGAGGCACAAAAUCAAUGUUCCUGUGCCUAUAGCUGGACUCCAUUUCAAAGCAAAUGUUACCGCUUCAUUCCAGUGACAAAAGGACAUGCUGAAGCUGAGUUAUAUUGUCAAUAUCUUGGAGGAAACCUCGCCUCAGUGCACAGCGAAGAAGCCAACACAUUUAUAAAAAAUGUAAUUGCAAACAGAGACAACUCAAACCCGCAAACUUGGC